Molecule: unclassified non-coding RNA, 267 nt
Filed under: Hevea brasiliensis (rubber tree)
Lineage: Eukaryota; Viridiplantae; Streptophyta; Magnoliopsida; Malpighiales; Euphorbiaceae
Source: RNAcentral
UUUCCUUUUUUUUUUUUUUUUGGUUUUAAAUUCUUUAUAUGAAUGCACAGUAAUUGAAAUCAAAGGAUAUGUAUAUUGUUUUGAUCACAUUAGAAAAUUACAUGUACUGUGAAGGAGUUUCCCUUCUUUCUCUUCUUCUACAAGUGGCCUGAUACAGUGAUGAUAUUGAGAUUUAAUGGGUAUAGCUUGAUGAAACAGUUAUUUGUCACUGCAUCAGCCCAAUGGGUAAAAGUAGUUUUGAGUAUUUUACACAUUGUUAACGGAAAG